Molecule: long non-coding RNA, 2014 nt
Organism: Triticum aestivum (bread wheat)
Lineage: Eukaryota; Viridiplantae; Streptophyta; Magnoliopsida; Poales; Poaceae
Exons: 6
Source: RefSeq, a predicted model, not a curated record
AUCGCCCUCUCGCUGAAAUCGCUGAACCUGAGUGUCUCCACAGCCCACCAACUCGCGGCCUCUCCUCAACCCCACCGCCGCCGCAGCUGUCGCCGUCGCCGUCGCCGUUGCCCCACCUCCUCGCCGAGAGCUCUACAGUGCAGGGGAGUUGAGAUGGCGCCGGCGCCGGCGCCGCCCAAGACGGGGCCGUUCGUGGGGAUCAACACGGGGGGCCGGCGUCACCAAGCGCGAGCUCCCGCCCGCCCGUCCGGCCGCGGAGGGAAAAUUACCAAGUGUCCAUUUUGUUCAGAACUUCAUCAGGGAAGUUUACGGUUUGGGCUCCAUGCAGGGGAACUGAAAUGCCGCCGGUGCCGCUGAAGAAGGGGCUGUUCAUGGGGAUCAAUAAGGGGCACGUUGUCACCAAGCUCGAGCUCCCGCUCCGCCAUCCGACCGCAAAGGGAUAAUUGCCGAGAGGGUCCUUUUUGUUAGGAACUUGAUCAGGGAAGUUUACAGUUUGGCCUCCGUGCAGGGGAACUGAAAUGCCGCCGGCGCCGCUGAAAACGGGUCUGUUCAUGGGGAUCAAUAAGGAGCACGUUGUCACCAAGCUCGAGUCCCGCCCUGCCAUCCGACCGCAAAGGGAUAAUUGCCGAGAGGGUCCUUUUUGUUAGGAACUUGAUCAGGGAAGUUUACGGUUUGGCCUCCGUGCAGGGGAACUGAAAUGCCGCCGGCGCCGCUGAAAACGGGGCUGUUCAUGGGGAUCAAUAAGGAGCACGUUGUCACCAAGCUCGAGCUCCCGCCCCGCCUGUCCGACCGCAAAGGAAUGAGUAUUCUGCUUCCAGAAUCUGAUCAGUUCUUAUGUUCAAGCUGCUUACUUCUCUACAUUAGGUGUGUGAAAAUUGAAACGCAGGUAGAAACUUUCUUCAGAGAGGGUGGAAUAACGAUGAAGCUAGUCAAAUCCUAGAGUGCAUCUGUUGAUUUGCAUGUCGUAACGGUGAAACUGCGUCUAGGGAUCGUGCAAUUAUUGGAGUUAUCUGUUGAUGUGACUUAACAAACAUAGACAUGUGACAAUGCUUUUCCUGGAAAUUUCCACACCAAUCUAUCUUUUAGCUUUCCUGCAAAAAACAAGAGAAUGUGUCGUUUAGCUGCUGCAGGCGCGGUGAUAUUGCCUGCUUCUUGGUGGAUGCUGUCAAAAUUAGCGAGACAAGCAAUGAUGUGUGUGGUGACCAUAUAACCUUCUCCGUUUAACCAUUGUACGCUAUAUGAAGUAAUGCAUACAUAGAGGUUGUCAGUUCUUGACAGUUUAUUUACACACAAUGUUCAGGUGCCAGCUGCAAGACAGGUGUCUCUUUUCUAUGGGUGCAUAACUGUAUAUUCUUGCUCAAGUCUGAUGUUACCGUUUGUGUUUAGUCCGUCUGUGUGUGUUAUCUCCAGACCUCAGAUUUUACUGUAAAUUAUGUGCAAUUAUCACCUAUGUUAGAAGUUUCAGUCAUUAAUGGUAGUGCAAUUCUGUGAUGAGAUUAUUGAGAACGACAGCUUAGUAACAUUCCAAAAAUGGUACUCUUUCUUAUUUCAGAAAAUUACCAAGAGGGUCCUUUUUGUUUGGAACAUGAUCACGGAAGUUGCUGGAUUUGCACCAUAUGAGAAGCGUGUCACCGAGAUUCUGAAGGUUGGAAAAGAUAAAUGUGCACUCAAGGUAGCCAAGAGAAAGCUAGGCACACACAAGAGAGCCAAGAAGCGUGAGGAGAUGUCCGGUGUUCUUAGGAAGAUGAGAGCUGCUGGAACCGCCGAGAGGAAGAAGUGAGGCGGCUCGAAUUGUUGAGAAGUGUUGAAGUAGCAAAGUAUAACUGGCGAACGCUUCCGGGGCACAUCUUUGCAGCAUGGUUCCCUCGCAUCUCGUCUCUGCGGAUUUUGUGCAUUUGAUUGAUGAUGGAAUCAACUGUAAGCUUUGAUGUCGAGAAAAGAUGUGGCUGUUGAGCAGUUUGAUCUGGUUAUUUUUGCAUGGUUUAUCUGUCCCUGGGGCGGGUGUUGUUGUUGU